UGUGGAUAUUCUACCUCAACUACGUACAGAGCGUUUUAAUAUUGUACUUGAAUUUUCUUUUCUUAUCAUCCUUCUUUCUUCUUUUUUCGGUAGAAGAAGGGAGAAAACUUAUUAACGAUGUGAGAGAGAAUGAUAAUGAAAUUAAUAUCGCCAUCGUGGUCUCGAUAGACCUUGGCAAUGUAAUUUGGGUUGGGACCCGGACCAUGUCCAUCGUCUCAUGGUGUCACACCAGCA
Molecule: long non-coding RNA, 234 nt
Filed under: Elaeis guineensis (African oil palm)
Lineage: Eukaryota; Viridiplantae; Streptophyta; Magnoliopsida; Arecales; Arecaceae
Description: long non-coding RNA (EGUI_LNC026817)
Source: RNAcentral